This 76-nucleotide transfer RNA is filed under the name Candidatus Bathyarchaeota archaeon. Its description in RNAcentral is "tRNA-His". It matches the Rfam family "tRNA". Rfam says of the family: Transfer RNA (tRNA) molecules are approximately 80 nucleotides in length. Their secondary structure includes four short double-helical elements and three loops (D, anti-codon, and T loops). Further hydrogen bonds mediate the characteristic L-shaped molecular structure. tRNAs have two regions of fundamental functional importance: the anti-codon, which is responsible for specific mRNA codon recognition, and the 3' end, to which the tRNAs corresponding amino acid is attached (by aminoacyl-tRNA synthetases). tRNAs cope with the degeneracy of the genetic code in two manners: having more than one tRNA (with a specific anti-codon) for a particular amino acid; and 'wobble' base-pairing, i.e. permitting non-standard base-pairing at the 3rd anti-codon position. The record is from RNAcentral. RNAcentral also lists the same sequence under 4 other names. Lineage: Archaea; Thermoproteati; Candidatus Bathyarchaeota.
GCCGGGGUGAUGUAGCUUGGCAGCAUAGAGGCCUGUGGAGCCUUUCGCCAGGGUUCAAAUCCCUGCCCCGGCCCCA